RNAcentral lists this ribosomal RNA (316 nucleotides) under uncultured bacterium. Its description in RNAcentral is "bacterial SSU rRNA". It matches the Rfam family "Bacterial small subunit ribosomal RNA", at positions 28 to 334 of the family's 1533-position model. The record is from RNAcentral.
GAUGAACGCUGGCGGCGUGCUUAACACAUGCAAGUCGAACGAAGCACUUUGACCUCUUCGGAGUGAUGAGUGACUGAGUGGCGGACGGGUGAGUAACGCGUGGGUAACCUGCCUCGUACAGGGGGACAACAGUUGGAAACGACUGCUAAUACCGCAUAAGCGCACGGUAUCGCAUGAUACAGUGUGAAAAGCUGAGGCGGUACGAGAUGGACCCGCGUUGGAUUAGCCAGUUGGUGAAGUAACGGCCCACCAAGGCAAUGAUGGGUAGCCGGCCUGAGAGGGUGAACGGCCACAAGGGGACUGAGACACGGCCCUU